UACGGGGGGGGCAAGCGUUGUUCGGAAUUACUGGGCGUAAAGGGCUCGUAGGCGGCCAACUAAGUCCGACGUGAAAUCCCUCAGCUUAACUGGGGAACUGCGUGUGAUACUGGAUGGCUUAGAUUUGGGAGAGGGAUGCGGAAUUCCAGGUGUAGCGGUGAAAUGCGUAGAUAUCUGGAGGAACACCGGUGGCGAAGGCGGCAUCCUGGACCAAUAUUGACGCUGAGGAGCGAAAGCCAGGGGAGCAAACGGG
This 253-nucleotide ribosomal RNA is filed under the name uncultured bacterium. RNAcentral describes it as "partial 16S ribosomal RNA". It matches the Rfam family "Bacterial small subunit ribosomal RNA", at positions 524 to 776 of the family's 1533-position model. The record is from RNAcentral.